RNAcentral lists this ribosomal RNA (498 nucleotides) under uncultured bacterium. RNAcentral's name for it is "partial 16S ribosomal RNA". It matches the Rfam family "Bacterial small subunit ribosomal RNA", at positions 29 to 507 of the family's 1533-position model. The record is from RNAcentral.
ACGAACGCUGGCGGCGUGCCUAAUACAUGCAAGUCGAGCGGACUUUCAAGAAGCUUGCUUUUUGAAAGUUAGCGGCGGACGGGUGAGUAACACGUGGGCAACCUGCCUGCAAGACGGGGAUAACUCCGGGAAACCGGGGCUAAUACCGGAUAAUAUCUUCCUUCGCAUGAAGGAAGGUUGAAAGGCGGCGCAAGCUGCCGCUUGCAGAUGGGCCCGCGGCGCAUUAGCUAGUUGGUGAGGUAACGGCUCACCAAGGCGACGAUGCGUAGCCGACCUGAGAGGGUGAUCGGCCACACUGGGACUGAGACACGGCCCAGACUCCUACGGGAGGCAGCAGUAGGGAAUCUUCCGCAAUGGACGAAAGUCUGACGGAGCAACGCCGCGUGAGCGAAGAAGGUCUUCGGAUCGUAAAGCUCUGUUGUCAGGGAAGAACAAGUACCGUUCGAACAGGGCGGUACCUUGACGGUACCUGACCAGAAAGCCACGGCUAACUACGUG